AAAAUGCCCAAUUCAAAUACACAACUACCAAUAUACACUGCAGAACCAAUGAACACGCAGACCCAGUUGGAAGGAGAAGAUGAAGAUAUAGCUGGAGGUGGUGAGGAAUCCAUAGACAACCCUAACAUCCACUAUGAAAACGUCACUGGAAAUGGAGGUGGUGUAGAUGAUGUCCCCCCUAGUGUUAUUCGCGUUACUGGUGGACCAGAUUAUCCUUUGGUCCCUGUAAAUGGUGGCGAUGCUGACCAGCUCACCCUGUCUUUUCAGGGUGAGGUAUAUGUGUUUGAUGCUGUUUCCCCAGAUAAGGUGCAGGCAGUGCUGUUACUUCUAGGUGGAUAUGAAAUCCCUUCUGGCAUUCCCACCACUGGGACAGCCCCUCACAACUUUAGGGGUCCAAGUGACUUGUGUGGAAGUUCAUUUCAGCCUCAGAGGGCAGCUUCUUUACGUCGGUUCAGGGAGAAGAGAAAGGAGCGUUGUUUUGAUAAGAAAAUCCGUUACACUGUCCGGAAAGAAGUUGCACUUAGGAUGCAGCGUAAGAAGGGACAAUUUACUUCAUCCAAGGCUAGUUCUGACGAAGCAGGCUCAGCUUCUUCUGGCUGGAGUGCAACUCAGGGUUCUGGACAAGAUGACAACAUGCUAGAAACUUUAUGCACUCAUUGUGGAACCAGUUCAAAGUCAACUCCAUUGAUGCGUCGUGGGCCAGCAGGUCCAAGAACCCUUUGUAAUGCGUGUGGGCUGAAGUGGGCUAACAAGGGAAUCUUGAGAGACCUUUCCAAGGUGUCAAGCUUAGCUAUUCAAGGUCCUCCUGCAAAGCCAACUGAACAGAGCGGAGGUGAAGCUAAUGGCCUGGAAGUUGUAACCAUGGCAGCAGAUAUAGUCACAUCUUCUAACGGCAAUAAUUCAACUUUGACUGCUGAAACAUGAUUUGAUAAUUGCAUCCAUUGCAGCAAAUGCGAUUUGAUGUCAGAAAGCAUGAGUCCCAGAUUUGAACGUGCAAGCGGAUAAGAUGAUUACCUUGCAGCAAGUGACAUUCAGACAUUUGAAAACAGAUUCACAGCCUGUGUAAUAACUUUCUGCUUUGCUUCAAACAACUGUACAUAUAAUUUGGAGCCUCUUGUCAUAAUAUACAAUAUGUAAACUGUUUCGAAGCAUUUGUGCACAUAAGCUUCGAAUAGAAGAUAAAAUGUAACCUUUUGGUUUCUCUUACAAAGUUAUUCAAGCUGAAAACAGGCAGCAAGGUUCUUGGUA
This 1248-nucleotide unclassified non-coding RNA is filed under the name Hevea brasiliensis (rubber tree). The record is from RNAcentral. Lineage: Eukaryota; Viridiplantae; Streptophyta; Magnoliopsida; Malpighiales; Euphorbiaceae.